Canis lupus familiaris (dog) is the source of this 581-nucleotide long non-coding RNA. RefSeq lists it as uncharacterized. Lineage: Eukaryota; Metazoa; Chordata; Mammalia; Carnivora; Canidae. The record is from RefSeq and is a predicted model, not a curated record. The transcript is spliced from 3 exons.
CGUGGGUCCGCUGGGAUCAUAAAAGCCCUGCAGCUCCGCGCAGCAGACGCAGGCGCCCGGGGCAGGCACCGCAUGGUUAUUAUGUUGUUAUUAUCACUGUCACCGCCAUGAAGCUCUAGGGAGGAACAAGAGAAGAAGGAAAAACCAAGAAAGUUCAAAACGACUUCAGGGAGGUCAUGGAACCAGCUGAUCCUCGACUGCGACCCGCAAGUGGCCAGAGCGCGCUCCGUCUUGAAGGGUUAUUAUGAGGAUAAAAACGACCACAGAAUACGCAAUUGGGUUGCAAGCCUGUCUGGUUAACCAACCCCACAAUGACUCAGCUGGGAUUUUCUUCAUGUUUUGCUCAGAAAAAAAGGUCACAGGUGUCACGGGACCCCCGAGGAUGGAGGGGCGAGGGAGAUGUGGUUGCCUGCCUCUAUUCCGGAUGGAUGUCUGUAAAAAUGCAUUCCUAGGGCCCCCCGGGGGGCUCAGCAGUGGAGCGCCUGCCUUCGGCCCAGAGCGUGACCCCGGGGUCCCGGGAUCGAAUCCUGCAUCAGGUUCCCUGUAUGGAGCCUGCUUCUCCCUCUGCCUCUCUCUCUCUC